Molecule: ribosomal RNA, 443 nt
Filed under: uncultured bacterium
Lineage: Bacteria
Description: SSU rRNA
Rfam family: Bacterial small subunit ribosomal RNA
Source: RNAcentral
GGAGCGAACGCUGGCGGCAGGCUUAACACAUGCAAGUCGAGCGCCCCGCAAGGGGAGCGGCAGACGGGAGAGUAACACGUGGGAACGUACCUUUCGGUUCGGAACAACCCAGGGAAACUUGGGCUAAUACCGGAUACGUCCGUAAGGAGAAAGAUUUAUCGCCGAAAGAUCGGCCCGCGUCUGAUUAGCUAGUUGGUGAGGUAACGGCUCACCAAGGCGACGAUCAGUAGCUGGUCUGAGAGGAUGAUCAGCCACAUUGGGACUGAGACACGGCCCAAACUCCUACGGGAGGCAGCAGUGGGGAAUAUUGGACAAUGGGCGCAAGCCUGAUCCAGCCAUGCCGCGUGAGUGAUGAAGGCCUUAGGGUUGUAAAGCUCUUUUACCUGGGAAGAUAAUGACGGUACCAGGAGAAUAAGCCCCGGCUAACUCGUGCCAGCAGCCGC